ACCCAGACUCCUACGGGAGGCAGCAGUGGGGAAUAUUGCACAAUGGGGGGAACCCUGAUGCAGCGACGCCGCGUGGGUGAAGGAGCACCUCGGUGCGUAAAGCCCUAUCGGCAGGGAAGAAGCAAGACGGUACCUGACUAAGAAGCCCCGGCUAACUACGUGCCAGCAGCCGCGGUAAUACGUAGGGGGCGAGCGUUAUCCGGAUUCACUGGGUGUAAAGGGAGCGUAGACGGCCAUGCAAGCCAGGGGUGAAAGCCCGGGGCCCAACCCCGGGACUGCCCUUGGAACUGCAUGGCUGGAGUGCGGGAGGGGCAGGCGGAAUUCCUGGUGUAGCGGUGAAAUGCGUAGAUAUCAGGAGGAACACCGGCGGCGAAGGCGGCCUGCUGGACUGCAACUGACGUUGAGGCCCGAAAGCGUGGGGAGCAAACAGGAUUAGAUACCCCUGUAGU
RNAcentral lists this ribosomal RNA (449 nucleotides) under uncultured bacterium. RNAcentral's name for it is "bacterial SSU rRNA". It matches the Rfam family "Bacterial small subunit ribosomal RNA", at positions 329 to 794 of the family's 1533-position model. The record is from RNAcentral.